Non-coding RNA from Vicia faba (fava bean), 201 nucleotides. Lineage: Eukaryota; Viridiplantae; Streptophyta; Magnoliopsida; Fabales; Fabaceae. The record is from the annotation of a GenBank genome assembly.
AUGAGCCUGGAUGUAUACGAUACUGUACGAGAUUCUCCCUUCCAUCGUACGACUCUUAGGAAGUCGUAUGAGUCAACCAUGAGGGUUGACUGUGGCUGUGUGAUUGAAUGGUUGUUCGCUGUUGAUCCUGUUGAAGUUCAAGCUUCUGCUGCCUCUUUGUUGUUCAUCUAUUGGAUUAGCAACAUUGCUCUGGUGAAAUGA